This 392-nucleotide ribosomal RNA is filed under the name uncultured bacterium. RNAcentral describes it as "partial 16S ribosomal RNA". It matches the Rfam family "Bacterial small subunit ribosomal RNA", at positions 523 to 918 of the family's 1533-position model. The record is from RNAcentral.
AUACGGAGGAUGCAAGCGUUGUCCGGAUUUAUUGGGCGUAAAGGGUGCGUAGGCGGCCUUGUAAGUCAGAUGUGAAAGAUCAUGGCUUAACUGUGGUAAGCAUUUGAAACUGCAGGGCUUGAGUACAGGAGAGGAGAGUGGAAUUCCUAGUGUAGCGGUGAAAUGCGUAGAUAUUAGGAGGAAUACCAGUGGCGAAGGCGACUCUCUGGACUGAUACUGACGCUGAGGCACGAAAGCGUGGGGAGCAAACAGGAUUAGAUACCCUGGUAGUCCACGCUAUAAACGAUGAGUGCUAGGUGUCGGGGGUCAAACCUCGGUGCCGCAGUUAACACAUUAAGCACUCCGCCUGGGGAGUACGGCCGCAAGGCUGAAACUCAAAGGAAUUGACGGGG